This 360-nucleotide unclassified non-coding RNA is filed under the name Naegleria sp. RNG130. RNAcentral describes it as "partial contains ITS1, 5.8S rRNA, ITS2, and 28S rRNA". The stretch from base 35 to 179 matches the Rfam family "5.8S ribosomal RNA". The record is from RNAcentral. Lineage: Eukaryota; Heterolobosea; Eutetramitea; Acrasida; Naegleriidae.
CUGGUAAAAAGGUGAAAACCUUUUUUACCCCCAAAACUCUGUGCAAUGGAGCACACGGCUUAUGCAUCGAUGAAGCCCGCGGCAAAAAGCGAUAUGUAAUGAGAUUCGUUAGCCUCGCGAUUCAUCAAAUUGGUGAACACAUACUGGACCUCUUCGGAGGUACUUGCGUUAGAGUGCUAGUUUUAUAUCAAUUGAUCCUGGUAAAAGGUGUUUGAAUCAUUAGGUUCUUACGCCCUAGCCGGUGUAGCCGGAUUCUCUCUGAGAAACCGGAUUGUUCCUGAAGGACUUCGGUCUAUUAGGUCAAUCAUUUUUUUAAACUGGCCUCUAAUGUGAGAGGGUACCCCCUGGAUUUAAGCAUAU